This 1328-nucleotide long non-coding RNA is filed under the name Sorghum bicolor (sorghum). RNAcentral describes it as "long non-coding RNA (SBIC_LNC004797)". Lineage: Eukaryota; Viridiplantae; Streptophyta; Magnoliopsida; Poales; Poaceae. The record is from RNAcentral.
CGGCGGUUUCUAGAAAUUGAUGGAAACGGUGGGGAAAAAUACACGAACUAGAUCUAACAAGACAUAACCAGCAACAAGACCUCGACCAGGACACAAACUAAAAACUGCGAAGUCUCAAAUUGAAAUAUGCAAAGGCUAUGGCGCGGAAGGGUUGUAGGACAGGAAAAUGAUAUGACACUGGACUUAUGGGACGAACACAAGAACACUCGAAACUAAAGGUAGAUGUAAAACCAACGGUAUACAUGAAGCUUUGAUUACCACUUGAUGAGAACAAGGGUGGCCUGAUCUUCCGAAAGGUUCUGGUACUCUCGAUUUGGUCGAGACGAGACACAAAUCGAUCCGGCUUCCGAACAACACGAUCUGAAACCCUGCAAAUUUUUUUUUAUUUUUUUGAUAUUUUUCUUUUACUUUGGAGCACUAAAGAAGUAACCACAGAAAAUUUGAGCUUAAACAAGUGAAAGACGUGGCCUGUGGAAUUUUCUGAAGAUUGCAAAAAAUGUGAAAAAAAAUCACAAGGCGAAAAACUCAAACUUCAGGGGCGAAUUUGGAGAUUAUAAAAUUUUCAAACCCGCCAAUGGCGAGGACAGACUGAUCCGAAAUUUUUUUUUGAUUGAUUUUGAUAUAACGGUAUACCUGAAGCUUUGAUUACCACUUGAUGAGAACAAGGUUGACCCGAUCUUCAGAAAGGUUAUGAUAACUCUCGGUUUGGUUGAGACGAGACACAAAUCGAUCCGGCUUUCAAACAACACGAUUCGAAAGUCUGCAUUUUUUAUUUUUUUGAUAUUUUUCUUUUACUUAGGAGCACUAAAGAACUAACCAUAGAAAAUUUGAGCUUAAACAAGUGAAAGACGUGGCCUGCGGAAUUUUAUGAAGAUUGCAAAAAAUGUGAAAAAACUUCACGAGGUGAAAACUCAAACUUCGGAGGCAAAUUUGGAGCUUCCAAAAUUUUCAAACCCGCCAGUGGUAGGGACAGGCAGAUCCAAAUUUUUUUUCUCAUCGAUUUUGAUAUAUGGAACAUUGAAAUCGGAGUUCGUACGUGAAUGUUAUGGCUAUUUUACGAACGGACUUCGAAUAAGAGAACAAAACGGUCCAAAAGUGGGAAAAUUUGCGGCGGUGGCUAGAAAUUGAUGGAAACGGUGGGGAAAAACACACGAACUAGACUCUAACAAGACCUAACCAGCAACAAGACCUCGACUAGGACACAAACUCAACACUACGGACUCUGAAACGGAAAUAUGCAAAGGCUAUGCGCGGAACGGUUGUAGGACAAGAAAACGAUAUGGCACUGGACUUAUGGGACGAACACAAUAACACUCGAAACUAAGGGU